GUUUGAUCCUGGCUCAGGAUGAACGCUAGCUACAGGCUUAACACAUGCAAGUCGAGGGGCAGCAUGGUCUUAGCUUGCUAAGGCUGAUGGCGACCGGCGCACGGGUGAGUAACACGUAUCCAACCUGCCGUCUACUCUUGGACAGCCUUCUGAAAGGAAGAUUAAUACAAGAUGGCAUCAUGAGUCCGCAUGUUCACAUGAUUAAAGGUAUUCCGGUAGACGAUGGGGAUGCGUUCCAUUAGAUAGUAGGCGGGGUAACGGCCCACCUAGUCUUCGAUGGAUAGGGGUUCUGAGAGGAAGGUCCCCCACAUUGGAACUGAGACACGGUCCAAACUCCUACGGGAGGCAGCAGUGAGGAAUAUUGGUCAAUGGGCGAGAGCCUGAACCAGCCAAGUAGCGUGAAGGAUGACUGCCCUAUGGGUUGUAAACUUCUUUUAUAAAGGAAUAAAGUCGGGUAUGCAUACCCGUUUGCAUGUACUUUAUGAAUAAGGAUCGGCUAACUCCGUGCCAGCAGCCGCGGUAAUACGGAGGAUCCGAGCGUUAUCCGGAUUUAUUGGGUUUAAAGGGAGCGUAGAUGGAUGUUUAAGUCAGUUGUGAAAGUUUGCGGCUCAACCGUAAAAUUGCAGUUGAUACUGGAUAUCU
RNAcentral lists this ribosomal RNA (642 nucleotides) under uncultured bacterium. RNAcentral describes it as "bacterial SSU rRNA". It matches the Rfam family "Bacterial small subunit ribosomal RNA", at positions 11 to 642 of the family's 1533-position model. The record is from RNAcentral.